Salmo trutta (river trout) is the source of this 1096-nucleotide long non-coding RNA. The record is from Ensembl. Lineage: Eukaryota; Metazoa; Chordata; Actinopteri; Salmoniformes; Salmonidae.
GUCGGAGCUGCCCGUCAGUCAACAGUCGCCGGAGUGGUCAGACUGCGCUGAACUGCCGGAGUGGCCAGACUGCGCUGAACUGCCGGAGUGGCCAGACUGCGCUGAACUGCCGGAGUGGCCAGACUGCGCUGAACUGCCGGAGUGGCCAGACUGCGCUGAACUGCCGGAGUGGCCAGACUGCGCUGAACUGCCGGAGUGGCCAGACUGCGCUGAACUGCCGGAGUGGCCAGACUGCCCUGAACUGCCGGAGUGGCCAGACUGCCCUGAACUGCCGGAGUGGCCAGACUGCCCAGACUGUCCCGAGCUGCCAGGCGUCCCCAGUCCAGUCCGGCCCGUCCCUGCUCCCCGCACCAAGCCAGUGGUGCGUGUCCCCAGUCCAGUCCGGCCCGUCCCUGCUCCCCGCACCAGGUUAGUAGUGCGUGUCCCCAGUCCUGUCCGGCCCAUUCCUGCUCCCCGCACCAGGUUAGUGGUGCGUGUCCCCAGUCCUGUCCGGCCCAUCCCGGCUCCCCGCACCAAGCCGGUGGUGCGUGUCCCCAGUCCAGUCCGGCCCGUCCCUGCUCCCCGCACCAGGUUGGUGGUGCGUGUCCCCAGGCCAGUCCGGCCCGUCCCUGCUCCCCGCACCAGGUUGGUGGUGCGUGUCCCCGGUCCUGUCCGGCCCGUCCCUGUCCCCCGCACCAGGCCCACGGCGCGUGUCCACAGUCUGGCACGGCCUGUGUCCGGUCCACCGGUGAUCAGUCCUGUUCCGGUCGGCGGCUCUGCUCCGGAGCCUGAGCAUGCCGCUCCACCGUGGUCCAGUCCGGGCCAGAGGGGUAGGGCUAGGGUGGAGGCAGGGGGAGAAACACGCCCGGGGCCAGAGCCUCCACCGAGGGUGAGGCGCCCACCCGGGUCCCCCCCCUAAUAGACUUUAGGUUGGUGCGCCGGGAGUACGCACCGUUGGAGGGGGGGUACUGUCACGCCCUGACCAGGUGAACUCUUCUAUUUUGGUCAGGGUGUGGCAUUUCUAUAGUUUAUUUUCUAUGUUGGGUUAUGUCGAUUCCCAAUCAGAGACAGCUGUCGCUAGUUGCCUCUGAUUGGGGAAUCAUAUUUAAGUUCCUUU